RNAcentral lists this ribosomal RNA (253 nucleotides) under uncultured bacterium. RNAcentral's name for it is "partial 16S ribosomal RNA". It matches the Rfam family "Bacterial small subunit ribosomal RNA", at positions 524 to 776 of the family's 1533-position model. The record is from RNAcentral.
GACAGAGGGGGCAAACUUUGUUCGGAUUUACUGGGCGUAAAGCGCGUGUAGGCGGCUUUGCAAGUCGGAUGUGAAAGCCCACGGCUCAACCGUGGAAGUGCAUCCGAAACUGCAUGGCUUGAGUCUCGGAGAGGAAGGUGGAAUGCUUGGUGUAGAGGUGAAAUUCGUAGAUAUCAAGCAGAACACCUGCGGCGAAGGCGGCCUUCUGGACGAUGACUGACGCUGAGACGCGAAAGCGUGGGGAGCAAACAGG